Non-coding RNA from Acanthosepion pharaonis, 102 nucleotides. NCBI's taxonomy places the organism in Eukaryota, Metazoa, Mollusca, Cephalopoda, Sepiida, Sepiidae. The record is from the annotation of a GenBank genome assembly.
AUAUCAUGUGGAAUACACCGGUUCUCGUCCGAUCACCGAAGCAACCUCGAACCUAGUUAGUACUUAGAUGGUUGACCACUUGAGUAUACCACGUGCUGUAAU